CGUGCUUAACACAUGCAAGUCGAACGGUGAAGGGACCAGCUUGCUGGUUCUGGAUGAGUGGCGAACGGGUGAGUAACACGUGAGUAACCUGCCCCCUUCUUCUGGAUAACCGCAUGAAAGUGUGGCUAAUACGGGAUAUUCUGGGUCUGUCGCAUGACGGGCCCGGGAAAGAUAUUGCUUCGGUGGGGGAUGGGCUCGCGGCCUAUCAGCUUGUUGGUGGGGUGAUGGCCUACCAAGGCGGUGACGGGUAGCCGGCCUGAGAGGGUGGACGGUCACACUGGGACUGAGACACGGCCCAGACUCCUACGGGAGGCAGCAGUGGGGAAUAUUGCACAAUGGGCGCAAGCCUGAUGCAGCGACGCCGCGUGAGGGAUGGAGGCCUUCGGGUUGUAAACCUCUUUCGCCAGUGAAGCAGGCCUGCUCCUUGUGGGUGGGUUGACGGUAGCUGGAUAAGAAGCGCCGGCUAACUACGUGCCAGCAGCCGCGGUAAUACGUAGGGCGCGAGCGUUGUCCGGAAUUAUUGGGCGUAAAGAGCUCGUAGGCGGCUGGUCGCGUCUGUCGUGAAAUCCUCUGGCUUAACUGGGGGCUUGCGGUGGGUACGGGCCGGCUUGAGUGCGGUAGGGGAGACUGGAACUCCUGGUGUAGCGGUGGAAUGCGCAGAUAUCAGGAAGAACACCGGUGGCGAAGGCGGGUCUCUGGGCCGUUACUGACGCUGAGGAGCGAAAGCGUGGGGAGCGAACAGGAUUAGAUACCC
This 754-nucleotide ribosomal RNA is filed under the name Actinomyces sp. V17 2011456. RNAcentral describes it as "bacterial SSU rRNA". It matches the Rfam family "Bacterial small subunit ribosomal RNA", at positions 43 to 787 of the family's 1533-position model. The record is from RNAcentral. Lineage: Bacteria; Bacillati; Actinomycetota; Actinomycetes; Actinomycetales; Actinomycetaceae.